AUCCAUAGAUCUAGCUUGGACUUUGAUGUUUGUGUUGGUUGAUUCCUACUGGCCUUAAUUUUCUUGUUGCUUGAUUCUUAUUUGCCUUAAUUUUCUUUGGUUUUUCUCCUGCUUGUUUUUUUUAAAGCUCGAAUUGGAAUAGUUUGAUACUAGUAGAAUAGUGUUUUUAAUAUUUGAAUCGGAUCUCUGGUUGACCCAUUUUUUGUUUCAAAAUGUGAAAUUGCAAUUUCCAAUUGUCAGAAUUUUGAAAUUUUGUUGCCUGAGACAACAGCCAGAGAGGGAUUUUGAUACUGUUCUUCUGAGGCGUGUAUGAUAAUUUAAAUCGGUGGUUGUAUAAACUGAAGCGUUUUUUGUUCUCCUAAAAUCAUGACAACUGUGGAUAAGAUGCAUAAGUGUGAGAAGAUUGAAACAAAUUGUUGGAAUUGCUAAUGCCUGUUGAGAAGAAGAUUGAAGCAAAAAUGUGAUAUGCGUCUAUUCUUUCAUUGUGGUUUGCUUUAUGCUUUCGCAGCAUGAUUUCUUCCGUAAAAUUGAGUCGAAGUUUCCCAUCUAGUUUAAUUUUUACCAUGCUAGAGAGCAUGUCUGUGUCAUGUUAUGUCUUUGUGACCAUAGAGAUUAAUUGGACGCUCUCUAUUUAGGUGAGGCGUAUAAUAAUUAAAGUUUAUAUUUAAAAGUCCAUUUAUUGAUGCAAUUGCUAAGGCCAGUCUGAGAAUAUCGAAUUUUUUAUUUGAUAUACUUGUAAUAUACAUUUUGCAUUAUGAUCACAUCCAUAAAAGUAAUUAUGAACUUAAUGCCUGUUUUAUAAUUAACUAAUUUGUAAUUAAUUAAUUUGUAAUGGCAGGUUGUAUCACCACGAAAGAACUUGGGACUGUGAUGAGAUCGCUUGGACAGAACCCCACCGAGGCAGAGCUACAGGAUAUGAUUAAUGAAGUUGACGCUGAUGGAAAUGGAACUAUUGAUUUUCCUGAGUUUCUGAAUCUCAUGUCUAGGAAAAUGAAAGACACUGAUUCUGAAGAAGAACUGAAAGAGGCUUUUAGAGUUUUUGACAAAGAUCAAAAUGGUUUUAUUUCUGCUGCAGAGCUGCGUCAUGUGAUGACAAACCUUGGUGAGAAGCUUACUGACGAAGAAGUUAAUGAAAUGAUAAAAGAGGCUGAUGUUGACGGUGAUGGCCAAAUAAAUUAUGAGGAAUUUGUCAAGGUUAUGAUGGCAAAGUGAUCACUCUAACUCGGGUUAUGUUCGGUAUGACAUGAUCAAAAGUCUAAUGGAAUUGUAAUUACAGUGCAUAUUUCAUUAUUUUGUUCAGUUAUGUAAGAAAAUUUUGAUAAAAUAUAUUGAUGAUUACAUCACGUACCAUUACAUAUAAAAAUAAAUGUGAUGAUUUAUUCUUUUUAUGGCUAUAUAUAUAUUUUUUAUUUGAG
RNAcentral lists this unclassified non-coding RNA (1415 nucleotides) under Hevea brasiliensis (rubber tree). The record is from RNAcentral. Lineage: Eukaryota; Viridiplantae; Streptophyta; Magnoliopsida; Malpighiales; Euphorbiaceae.